Erinaceus europaeus (western European hedgehog) is the source of this 1831-nucleotide long non-coding RNA. RefSeq lists it as uncharacterized. The transcript is spliced from 3 exons. The record is from RefSeq and is a predicted model, not a curated record. NCBI's taxonomy places the organism in Eukaryota, Metazoa, Chordata, Mammalia, Eulipotyphla, Erinaceidae.
GGAGGCGAGGGCUUGGGCUGAGAGAUGCGGGGAAGUGCACGGAAGAAUAGCUAGCCACGCACAGCAACGGAGGGGAGGUGCGCCCCCACCCCGACCAACGAUCCCAAGGAAUUCUCUGGUCCUGAUGAAUUAUCAUUCAGAGCCCUUUCGUCAUCUUCCCCUAAAGUUCAUCCCUCUAGUAGUAUGGACCAAAAUUAUUUGUGGUGCAAAAGAUGGAAGGUCUGGCUUCUAUAAUUGCUUCUCCACUGGACAUAUGUGUUGGCAGUUCAAGCCAUACCCCCAGCCUGUUUCUGUCUUUCCCUCAUGAGAGAGGCCUCUGGAGAGAGCAUAAUCUGAAAUGGCUCCUACUCUGUAGCCACUUAUACUACAAAAGCUUUAGUUUAAAGUAUAUACACAGUUUUGGGAGCCAGGCGGUAGUGCAGCACGUUAAGUGCACAUGGCACAAAGCACAAGAACCAGUGUAAGGAUCCCAGUUCGAGCCCCAGGCUCCCCACCUGCAGGGGGCUUGUUUUGCAAGGGGUGAAGCAGAUCUGCAGGUAUCUUAUCUUUCUCUCCCCUUCUCUAUCUUCCCCAUCUCUCUUGAUUUCUCUCUGUCCUAUCCGACAACAAUGACAACAAUAAUAACAACAAGGGCAACAAAAUGGAAAAAAUGGCCUCCGGGAGCAGUGGAUUCAUAAUACAGACACCAAGCCCCAGCGAUAACCUUGGAGGUAAAAAAAAAAAAAAUGUACACAGUUAUACAAGAGCUAACUGGAUCUUCACCCAGACCUAUUUAUACUUAGGCACAAUCAAGUGGAUUUGUUUAUAUUUUCCCAAACCACAAUAGAUUCAAGUGUUAACUAAAAAGAAUAGAAGAUUAAAAGGUCUAACUUGCUAACCAAACAAGAAGAUAAUAUCAUAUAAAAUAACAAUAAUAUGGCAUCAUUAUUAGGGCAAUGUAUUGCCAAAAUAACUAUGAGAACUUUGGAAACCCACAACUAAUGUUGAUUAUUAUAAAUCCAAGUUAAAAAAUGCAAAUAUUCUAUUUCGUAUAUGCUGAUUAAUAAGACGGGGGGGGGGGUGCUUUUUGGUCCUAGUGCCUGAGAGUGGAGGAGGACCUAGCUGGGGGCUGAGAGUGUUUUGCAGAAAACUAAGGAAUUUUACACAUGUACUAACAACUGUAUCUACUGUAAACCAUUUUCCCCCCCACAAAAAAAUGAAGUAUGAAAAAAUGUUUAGGAAAGUAGUUUUAAAUAGAAAUUAAUGAGCUAAAAGUGAGCUUGUAACAUAGCAAAAAAAAUAGUGUUUAUUAUAAUGUGCUUUAAAGCUUAUAAAGACUAUUUCAUCUGAUUUUCAGAAAAUAUCAGGAGGGCAAGUUGUAAUUGGCAAAAACAUUUUCUUAUGCCACAGUGAAACUGGGAAAUUAGAUGCUACCGUAAUUUUCUUAUUUAAUGAUAUAGUAUUUACUGAUACUUUCUGAUUUUUUUUUUAGAGAUCUGAUUAUGAUCUCAAGUAGCUUUAUAUUCCAACAUAUUUUUCAAUCGUGAUUUAUUAAAUUAAACAUUAUAUUCAAAUUAAGUUACCUAAAUCUUAUGAGCGGCAAAUCAUAUAAAUAUGUAAUAGAUGCAAAUUUUAUUAUUUAUAAUAUUUUAAAAGUGCAUGUAUCCUGGACAUUACCUUAUAAUUUUACAUUAAUUAUGUCCUGUCAAAGUAAAAGACUCUGGGGUGGGGGGGAGGGCUCAGGUCCUGGAACAUGAUGGCAGAGGAGGACCUAGUGGGGGUUGUAUUGUUAUGUGGAAAUGUUAUACAUAUACAAACUAGUGUAUUUUACUGUCAACUGUAAACCAUUAAU